RNAcentral lists this unclassified non-coding RNA (244 nucleotides) under Hevea brasiliensis (rubber tree). The record is from RNAcentral. Lineage: Eukaryota; Viridiplantae; Streptophyta; Magnoliopsida; Malpighiales; Euphorbiaceae.
UGUUCAAGAAUUCUUCAAGACUCCUUUUUUUAUCCUCUCCAGUGGUUUUCAACAGAUAUACAAAGAUCUGUAUGGAAAUAAAAAUCAGCAAGAGUUCUUGCAGUGCUUCUGAUUUAUGAAUUUAUGCAGAACUUGAUAUUGCUAUGCUUAAGCUCCUGAAAUCUUAACCUUGUUUCCUUUUUUUUUAUUCUUAUUUUCAAUUUCCUAUAUUUAUUGAUUUGAUUUUAUUUAUAUUAUUAUAUGC